GACGGGGACCCGCACAAGCGGUGGAGCAUGUUCUUUAAUUCGAUGCAACACGAAGAACCUUACCUGGGAUUGACAUCCGUGGAACCGCUAUGAAAGUAGCGAGUGCUCACUUUGUGAGAACCACGUGACAGGUACUGCAUGGCUGUCGUCAGUUCGUGUCGUAAGAUGUUGGGUUAAGUCCCGUAACGAACGCAACCCCUGUCUUUAGUUGCCAGCAUUAAGUUGGGGACUCUAGAGAGACUGCCAAGGUGACAACUUGGAGGAAGGUGGGGAUGACGUCAAGUCCAUAUGGUCCUUACAUCCAGGGCGAGAAACGUGCUACAAUGGUUGGUACAAUGGGGAGCAAAAUCGCAAGAUUGAGCAAAUCCUCAAAACUAAUCUCAGUUCGGAUUGGAGUCUGCAACUCGACUCCAUGAAGUUGGAAUCGCUAGUAAUCGCGGAUCAGCAUGCCGCGGUGAAUACGUAUCCGGGUCUUGUACACACCGCCCGUCAAGUCAA
This 498-nucleotide ribosomal RNA is filed under the name uncultured bacterium. RNAcentral describes it as "bacterial SSU rRNA". It matches the Rfam family "Bacterial small subunit ribosomal RNA", at positions 912 to 1405 of the family's 1533-position model. The record is from RNAcentral.